GUCUCUUCAAGCCAAGGCCAUUGAGGAAGGUCGUCUUCCUGAGAGCCAUCGAUAUCUUCAUCGACUUAUAAAUUCCUCGGAGUGCUCCGGCCUGCCUAAUGCGAGUUGAAGCUCUAUCAAAGGGUACUUGGCGGCGGGCGGGCUUGUGCGAGAAUACAAGCCUGUCUUGGCCCGUCCAGCAGGUAUCGCUCGUUGUGGGGGUUCCGCCUCUUGUCGUUCUUGUCAUUCGGGCGAACACACCUUGUCGUGUGUCCUGCAUCGGUAUGACAAUGCGCAGCAGCUUUAUCGAUACCUACCAACACGUUUGACUUUACAGCAAAAUGAAGAGUCGUCGUUGCACCGCGGCAAGUGGGCGCACAUUCCCCUUUUCGCAACGAAUCGAAUUUGUGCCGCUUCCAAACUCGGGGUUCGAACAUUGUGGAGGACCGAGACAAGAGCGGAUCACUGCAAAAAGCGGAGCGACUGACCAAGUGGGUUCGUCCGGCAGCUCAGCCGACGAAUUGGCGGAUUGAGAAUUCCGGCCACCGUUGAGCGCGCAAGUUUGGAGAAGCUCGCUGCCCCCAGCCCAGCCUUCGGAUCCGGCGGCUGCGCAAACUGUUGGGGUUGCACACCACGGGCCUGGGAAUCGACACAUCGCAGAAAGGCCCAGCUGAGCCUUGGGAGUUUUGCAGACAGUCAGACACCAGCCUCGUGGAUGGCUGUUUGUCUAGCAGCCCAAUUACACAUGAAUCUGAUAUCAGCCGUUUUCGGGAAGUAUACACGU
This is a non-coding RNA of Neurospora crassa OR74A, 763 nucleotides long. Lineage: Eukaryota; Fungi; Ascomycota; Sordariomycetes; Sordariales; Sordariaceae. The record is from RefSeq and is a predicted model, not a curated record.